RNAcentral lists this transfer RNA (71 nucleotides) under Dolichovespula xanthicincta. RNAcentral's name for it is "tRNA-His". The record is from RNAcentral. Lineage: Eukaryota; Metazoa; Arthropoda; Insecta; Hymenoptera; Vespidae.
UAUAAUAUUUAAAUAGUUUAAGAAAAAUAUUAGUUUGUGGAACUAAAGAUAUAUAUUUAUUGUUUUAAAUU